RNAcentral lists this Y RNA (102 nucleotides) under Propithecus coquereli (Coquerel's sifaka). RNAcentral describes it as "Y RNA (ENSPCOG00000003677.1)". It matches the Rfam family "Y RNA". From Rfam's summary of the family: Y RNAs are components of the Ro ribonucleoprotein particle (Ro RNP), in association with Ro60 and La proteins. The Y RNAs and Ro60 and La proteins are well conserved, but the function of the Ro RNP is not known. In humans the RNA component can be one of four small RNAs -- hY1, hY3, hY4 and hY5. The record is from Rfam by way of RNAcentral. Lineage: Eukaryota; Metazoa; Chordata; Mammalia; Primates; Indriidae.
GGUUGGUCUGAGUGUGGCGGCGUUUACAACUAAUUGAUCACAACCAGUUACAGAUUUCUUUGUUUCUUCUCCACUCCCAUUGCUUCACUUGACUAGCCUUAA